AUUCAAAGAUAGAUGAUGUGAUCUUUCAGACCAAGGAGUUGCACUAAUUAUGAUGAUGGAUGUGAUCUUUCAGACCAUGGAGUUGCAUCAAAUGUGAUGAUGGAUAGAUGUCAGAAAGUGGACUGCGGCGGAGUUAUGCAGAACUUGACAUGCAUGGUGGAAGUUGAUCGAGACUAUCAAUUCUUCGAGAGGUCCAGCGACUUUAUACUCGCAAGAAGGAUAUGGUAUGGAAUAGCUUUCUACACCUCUGGGCUGGCAGAUUUGUAAGAUUGGAAGUUGUUUCAGUGUGGAGAGAGAUGAACACUUUGUAUUGUCAGGUAAAAUUUGCUUUUGAAGUCACAAGUAAGUCUCAAUAAAGGCAUUUCCAUUUCUAGUUGUUUAGCUAACUAUGUACUGGAAAGUUGGUGGUUCUACUCUUAAAAGGUGUCUGUCUUUGUCCCAAGUAAGUCUCAAUAAAGCCAUUUCAAUUUCUUCUUUUCUAACUAGCUAUGUAUUGGAAAGUUGGUGGUUCUACUCUUAAAAGGUGUCUGUCUUUGUCCCAAGUAAGUCUCAAUAAAGCCAUUUCCAUUUCUUCUUUUCUAACUAGCUAUGUAUUGGAAAGUUGGUGGUUCUACUCUUAAAAGGUGUCUGUCUUUGUCCGAAACAAUGUCAUUAAGGCACAUUUUCCUCUACCUUUAAAGCUGGACAGUCACCAAAAUAGAACAUAGAAUUUUAUAUCUUUAAUAGAAAAAUUGCUAAGGUUACAUUGUUACUUUUUGAGAUUGCAAUGUUGUUCUGUUAACCCCAGUGACAUUUCAGUGAACUCUUGCAACAUGUUGGCUAGAUUUAUGUCGGAAUGUGGAUGGUUGUGUGACAUUGGUGAAGUGAUUUUUAUGACAUUGGUGAAGUGUGAUUGUGCUGGAAAGUGACAUGAUGGAGCAUUGUAAACCUAUAGACCAUGGAGUCUGAAUGGCUUAAGUGGCAUCACAUGUGAUGAUGGAUAGAUGUCAGAAAGUGGAUGGUAAAAGCACACCUGUGACAGAGUAAUGAAGAACUUGACAUGCAUGGUGGAAGUUGAUCGAGACUAUCAAUUCUUCGAGAGGUCCAGCGACUAUGAUACUCGCAAGAAGGAUAUGGUAUGGAAUAGCUUUCUACACUUCUGGGCUGGCAGAUUUGUGAUUAUGGAAGUUGUUUCAAUGUGGAGUGAGAUGAACACUUUGUAUGGUCAGAAAAUCCUUGCAACAUGUUGGCUAGAUUUCUAGAUUGAUGUCAGAAGUUGUGUUUGAUGGAUUUAUGUUGGAAUUUGGAUGGUUUUGUGACAUUGAUGAAGAUUUGUCAGAUUUGGGAGUUGCUCCAGUGCGGAGAGAG
This is a long non-coding RNA of Ruditapes philippinarum (Manila clam), 1347 nucleotides long. RefSeq lists it as uncharacterized. The transcript is spliced from 3 exons. Lineage: Eukaryota; Metazoa; Mollusca; Bivalvia; Venerida; Veneridae. The record is from RefSeq and is a predicted model, not a curated record.